UACGAAGGGGGCUAGCGUUGUUCGGAAUUACUGGGCGUAAAGCGCGCGCAGGCGGUCCUUCAAGUCAGAGGUGAAAGCCCGGAGCUCAACUCCGGAACUGCCAUUGAAACUGUUUAGCUUGAGGAUGAGAGAGGUGAGUGGAAUUCCCAGUGUAGAGGUGAAAUUCGUAGAUAUUGGGAAGAACACCGGUGGCGAAGGCGGCCUGCUGGGCAGUUGCUGACACUGAGGCGCGACAGCGUGGGGAGCAAACAGG
Molecule: ribosomal RNA, 253 nt
Filed under: uncultured bacterium
Lineage: Bacteria
Description: partial 16S ribosomal RNA
Rfam family: Bacterial small subunit ribosomal RNA
Source: RNAcentral